UACGUAGGGGGCGAGCGUUGUCCGGAGUUACUGGGCGUAAAGCGCGCGCAGGCGGUCGGGUUAGUCGGUCGUGAAAGACCCCGGCUCAACUGGGGCAGGUCGAUCGAGACAGCCCGACUGGAGGGGGUGAGAGGGACGUGGAAUUCUGGGUGGAGCAGUGAAAUGCGUAGAGACCCAGAGGAACACCGGUGGCGAAGGCGGCGUCCUGGGGCCCAUCUGACGCUGAGGCGCGAAGGCCAGGGGAGCGAACGGG
RNAcentral lists this ribosomal RNA (253 nucleotides) under uncultured bacterium. Its description in RNAcentral is "partial 16S ribosomal RNA". It matches the Rfam family "Bacterial small subunit ribosomal RNA", at positions 524 to 776 of the family's 1533-position model. The record is from RNAcentral.